AACGAACGCUGGCGGCAUGCCUAACACAUGCAAGUCGAACGAGACCUUCGGGUCUAGUGGCGCACGGGUGCGUAACGCGUGGGAACCUGCCCUUAGGUUCGGAAUAACUCCCCGAAAGGGGUGCUAAUACCGGAUAAUGUCUUCGGACCAAAGAUUUAUCGCCUUUGGAUGGGCCCGCGUUGGAUUAGCUAGUUGGUAGGGUAAAAGCCUACCAAGGCGACGAUCCAUAGCUGGUCUGAGAGGAUGAUCAGCCACACUGGGACUGAGACACGGCCCAGACUCCUACGGGAAGCAGCAGUGGGGAAUAUUGGACAAUGGGCGAAAGCCUGAUCCAGCAAUGCCGCGUGAGUGAUGAAGGCCUUAGGGUUGUAAAGCUCUUUUACCCGGGAAGAUAAUGACAGUACCGGGAGAAUAAGCUCCGGCUAACUCCGUG
Molecule: ribosomal RNA, 433 nt
Filed under: uncultured bacterium
Lineage: Bacteria
Description: partial 16S ribosomal RNA
Rfam family: Bacterial small subunit ribosomal RNA
Source: RNAcentral